AACGAACGCUGGCGGCAUGCCUAACACAUGCAAGUCGAACGAGACCUUCGGGUCUAGUUGCGCACGGGUUCGUAACGCGUGGGAACCUGCCCUUAGGUUCGGAAUAACUCCCCGAAAGGGGUUCUAAUACCGGAUAAUUUCUUCUGACCAAAGAUUUAUCGCCUUUGGAUGGGCCCGCGUUGGAUUAGCUAGUUGUUAGGGUAAAAGCCUACCAAGGCGACGAUACAUAGCUGGUCUGAGAGGAUGAUCAGCCACACUGGGACUGAGACACGGCACAGACUCGUACGGGAGGCAGCAGUGGGGAAUAUUGGAAAAUGGGCGAAAGCCUGAACCAGCAAUGCCGCGUGAGUGAUGAAGGCCUUAAGGUAGUAAAGCUCUUUUAACCGGGAUGAUAAUGACAGUACCGGGAGAAUAAGCUCCGGCUAACUCCGUG
This 433-nucleotide ribosomal RNA is filed under the name uncultured bacterium. Its description in RNAcentral is "partial 16S ribosomal RNA". It matches the Rfam family "Bacterial small subunit ribosomal RNA", at positions 29 to 507 of the family's 1533-position model. The record is from RNAcentral.